This is a long non-coding RNA of Pseudomyrmex gracilis, 1004 nucleotides long. RefSeq lists it as uncharacterized. Lineage: Eukaryota; Metazoa; Arthropoda; Insecta; Hymenoptera; Formicidae. The record is from RefSeq and is a predicted model, not a curated record. The transcript has 3 exons.
AAAUGCAUAACGACUCUUUUUCAAUUUUUGACAAAUAUUAUUUACAAAAUUUUAUUUCGACAAAACCCACACAGCACAAAACGUUGCAGCAACGUUGCAAACUUGCAGAUUACACUGCAAUCUUGCAGAGACAUUGAAAGAUUAUGAAAUUGCAAACUUCUAAUAGUAAUAUUGCAGCAACGUUGCAGAAACAUUGCAAAAAUAUUGUAAUGUUUCUGUAACGUUAUGCAUAUUGAUAUAAGGCAUGCAUGUCGCUGUGAACGCAGUAACGGGAAAGUGGUACGCGCAGGCGCGCAGGAAAGAUGAGUGAACACUGCACAUAAUGGGUGCGUUCAGACAACUCAACAGUUGCACAACGGUUGAGAGAUAAUCACUUCUGAUUGGAUCGUACUUUUGGAACCUCAGCAGAUCUUGAAGAAUAGUCCUAUCAUAAGCGAUGAUCUCUCAACCGUUGAGCUGUCUGAACGCACCCAAUGAGUUACGAGCAAGACGGACGUGCGGUUGUGUACUCUGCUCCGAGUCUUACAAUAUCAAGAAGUUCAAAAGAAGUGCGAGGACGCCAGACCAAGAGGUUACAUUACAACGAUACAAAGUGUCGAAAGUAACGCGAGUGACAGUACUUAUCAAUUGAUUCGCAAUUAAUCGAAAGAUUAUCCUGAGGAUCUGAAAGGAGGAACAGGAUAACGGCAAGCGGACAGCAAAACAUAACCUCCUUGCGCGAGUGAGUGAGCGUGAAAAGCAGCAGUUCGAAGCUGUUCGAAUGUUACAUGGCCAAGUAACGGAUACCGAUAUUGCAGAUUCUGUGUCAAAAUGGCUUGCUCAAUCCACUUUAAGAUCUCAAAGAGAAAAGUACAUACGUACAUGUAACAUUUCAUAUGGCAAGAUAAUGAUAUUAGAAUGCAAUUUUUAUUUCUAAUUUGCUUACAUUUGUAUAAAUCGGAUCAAACAAUGUAAUAUAAAAAUAAAUAAUAUAUAAAAUAAUAUAGAAAUAUAUAUGAUACAUA